UACGUAAGGACCGAGCGUUGUCCGGAAUCAUUGGGCGUAAAGGGUACGUAGGCUGUUAUCUAAGUUAGAAGUCAAAGGCUAUAGCUCAACUAUAGUAAGCUUUUAAAACUGGAUAACUUGAGAGAUGGAAGGGAAAGUGGAAUUCCUAGUGUAGCGGUGAAAUGCGCAGAUAUUAGGAGGAAUACCGGUGGCGAAGGCGACUUUCUGGCCAUUAUCUGACGCUGAGGUACGAAAGCGUGGUUAGCAAACA
RNAcentral lists this ribosomal RNA (250 nucleotides) under uncultured Anaerococcus sp. RNAcentral's name for it is "partial 16S ribosomal RNA". It matches the Rfam family "Bacterial small subunit ribosomal RNA", at positions 524 to 774 of the family's 1533-position model. The record is from RNAcentral. Lineage: Bacteria; Bacillati; Bacillota; Tissierellia; Tissierellales; Peptoniphilaceae.